AAUGGGCGCAAGCCUGAUGCAGCCAUGCCGCGUGUAUGAAGAAGGCCUUCGGGUUGUAAAGUACUUUCAGCAGUGAGGAAGGUGGGUAUGUUAAUAGCAUACUCAUUUGACGUUAGCUGCAGAAGAAGCACCGGCUAACUCCGUGCCCAGCAGCCGCGGUAAUACGGAAGGGUGCGAGCGUUAAUCGGAAUUACUGGGCGUAAAAGCGCAUGCAGGUGGUUUGUUAAGUCAGAUGUGAAAGCCCGGGGCUCAACCUCGGAAUUGCAUUUGAAAACUGGACAAACUAGAGUACUGUAGAGGGGGUAGAAUUUCAGGUGUAGCGGUGAAAUGCGUAGAGAUCUGAAGGAAUACCGGUGGCGAAGGCGGCCCCCUGGACAGAUACUGACACUCAGAUGCGAAAGCGUGGGGAGCAAACAGGAUUAGAUACCCUGGUAG
This 435-nucleotide ribosomal RNA is filed under the name uncultured bacterium. RNAcentral describes it as "bacterial SSU rRNA". It matches the Rfam family "Bacterial small subunit ribosomal RNA", at positions 370 to 793 of the family's 1533-position model. The record is from RNAcentral.